UUUGGGGUGACUCAGAAUCUGAAGGAAGCCGGACGCAAAAUCCCGAGGUGACGAACAGAAACUGGAUAAAAGGCUGUUUGAGAUGGACGAGUUUGCCACACAAAACAAAGUCCGAUACUGCCCAAGUCUUCUGCAGUAAAUCCAGCACCUAUAUGGGAGGAAAGUGGUUAGGC
RNAcentral lists this non-coding RNA (173 nucleotides) under Shouchella lonarensis. The record is from RNAcentral. Lineage: Bacteria; Bacillati; Bacillota; Bacilli; Caryophanales; Bacillaceae.